Molecule: ribosomal RNA, 468 nt
Filed under: uncultured bacterium
Lineage: Bacteria
Description: partial 16S ribosomal RNA
Rfam family: Bacterial small subunit ribosomal RNA
Source: RNAcentral
GACGAACGCUGGCGGCGUGCUUAACACAUGCAAGUCGAACGGAAAGGCCCUGCUUUUGUGGGGUGCUCGAGUGGCGAACGGGUGAGUAACACGUGAGUAACCUGCCCUUGACUUUGGGAUAACUUCAGGAAACUGGGGCUAAUACCGGAUAGGAGCUCCUGCUGCAUGGUGGGGGUUGGAAAGUUUCGGCGGAUGGGGAUGGACUGGCGGCUUAUCAGCUUGUUGGUGGGGUAGUGGCUUACCAAGGCUUUGACGGGUAGCCGGCCUGAGAGGGUGAACGGCGACAUUGGGACUGAGAGACGGCGCAGACGCGUACGGGAGGCAGCAGGGGGGAAUAUUGCACAAUGGGCGGAAGUCUGAUGCAGCAACGCCGCGUGCGGGAUGACGGCCUUCGUGUGGUAAACCGCUGUCGCCUGUGACGAAGCGUGAGUGACGGUAAUGGGUAAAGAAGCACCGGCUAACUACGUG